Molecule: long non-coding RNA, 747 nt
Organism: Culex pipiens pallens (northern house mosquito)
Lineage: Eukaryota; Metazoa; Arthropoda; Insecta; Diptera; Culicidae
Exons: 4
Source: RefSeq, a predicted model, not a curated record
GCUAAUGUGAAAUAAAAGAAACCGAAAAUAAUAAGGAAAAGGUAAAUGCAAAAUAAUUAAAUAAAGUUCGACUUUUUGUUUGGUCAAACCUUCUUUACUCAAAUUUGGGUAGAAUGCCUAGAAGAAUGAGUUGCGUUUCAUAAGAAUUACAUUAAACUUUUGAAUGAGUUGUCGCGUUUCAGCGUGCAUGGUUGAAUUUUGUUAGCUGCUUGCUCGAGAACGACAGUCAUUUGACGAACGCGAAAAGAGUAGGAUGUGCGCGAGAAAUCGAGAGUUGCACAUUUUUGAACAUGGGACAAUUAUGCGUAGAACGGCAGUUCAAGUAGAUAAACACGAAAGAAGAAACUGUGGGAUGUUGGCGCUGAAACAGUCUUGAAAUCAAAAAGGGACCAACGUUGGCGAAUUCCUGCUAAAAUAAUGGCCACUCGCAAACGAAUGACGAUUCUAAUAACCCGCUGGCGGCGAUUCACAUGGAUUUGGAUAAUAACAACGUAUACUCUGGCCGCCAAAACAUCAUGGCAUUUAUGCAUCGUCCGGUGAGCUUAAUCGAGCAAGAAACUUCUCCAAUCGCGCCAUGUACGACUUCGUAAGCCCAUGGGUCACAUGAUUACAAUCAUUGUUGAGCGACCGAAAUCGCAACGAUGAUAAUCUUUUAAAUCCAGCAUAAAGUUGAAGAUAAGAAUGUACCAUAACAGUCCAAAGAAGUGAAUAAAGUCGUAAGCCAUGAAUGCAAGUUAUUGAUCCCUA